This 468-nucleotide ribosomal RNA is filed under the name uncultured bacterium. Its description in RNAcentral is "partial 16S ribosomal RNA". It matches the Rfam family "Bacterial small subunit ribosomal RNA", at positions 28 to 507 of the family's 1533-position model. The record is from RNAcentral.
GACGAACGCUGGCGGCGUGCUUAACACAUGCAAGUCGAACGGAAAGGCCCUUCUUUUGUGGGUUGCUCGAGUGGCGAACGGGUGAGUAACACGUGAUUAACCUGCCCUUUACUUUGUGAUAACUUCAGUAAACUUUUGCUAAUACCGGAUAGUAUCUCCUGCUGCAUUGUUGUGUUUGGUAAUUUUCGGCGGUUGGGGAUGGACUCGCGGCUUAUCAGCUUGUUGGUGGGGUAGUGGCUUACCAAGGCUUUGACGGGUAGCCGGACUGAGAGGGUGACCGGGCAAAUGGGGACUGAGAAACGGCACAGACUAGAACGGGAGGCAGCAGGGGGGAAAAUUGAACAAUGGGCGGAAGAGUGAUGCAGCAAAGCAGCGUGAGGGAUGACGGCCUUCGGGUUGUAAAAAGAAUGAGAAUGUGACGAAGAGUGAGUGACGGUAAUGGGUAAAGAAGCACCGGCUAACUACGUG